GUCUAUUGCCAUGCUACCCUGAACAAGCCCAGUGUCUGAUCUCAGAAGCUAAGCAGGGUUGGGCCUGGUUAGUACUUGGAUGGUGAGACCACCUAGGAAGACCAGGUGCUGUAGGCA
Molecule: ribosomal RNA, 117 nt
Filed under: Pteropus alecto (black flying fox)
Lineage: Eukaryota; Metazoa; Chordata; Mammalia; Chiroptera; Pteropodidae
Source: RNAcentral